GUCGGGGGAGGGGGUCCCUCAGCCCAGAUUGCGAGAGGGCGCAGGCCAGGCUGAGGGACCCCACUGGUUCAUG
This 73-nucleotide microRNA precursor is filed under the name Myotis brandtii (Brandt's bat). RNAcentral describes it as "mir-9193 microRNA precursor family". It matches the Rfam family "mir-9193 microRNA precursor family". The record is from Rfam by way of RNAcentral. Lineage: Eukaryota; Metazoa; Chordata; Mammalia; Chiroptera; Vespertilionidae.